This 339-nucleotide ribosomal RNA is filed under the name uncultured Pseudomonadota bacterium. RNAcentral's name for it is "bacterial SSU rRNA". It matches the Rfam family "Bacterial small subunit ribosomal RNA", at positions 29 to 351 of the family's 1533-position model. Lineage: Bacteria; Pseudomonadati; Pseudomonadota. The record is from RNAcentral.
AACGAACGCUGACGGCGUGCCUAACACAUGCAAGUCGAACGAGAAAAUUCCGGCUUGCCGGGAUGAGUAAAGUGGCGCACGGGUGAGUAACACGUGGGUUAUCUGCCUUCAAGUUAGGGAUAACACUGCGAAAGCGGUGCUAAUACCUGAUAAGCUCACAGUUUUAUAAACAGUGGGAAAAGGUGGCCUCUGACAUAAGCUAUUGCUUGAAGAUGAGCUCGCGUACCAUUAGCUAGUUGGUAGGGUAAUGGCCUACCAAGGCAACGAUGGUUAGCUGGCCUGAGAGGGCGGCCAGCCACACUGGAACUGAGAUACGGUCCAGACUCCUACGGGAGGCUG